Crotalus tigris (Tiger rattlesnake) is the source of this 4057-nucleotide long non-coding RNA. RefSeq lists it as uncharacterized. The transcript is spliced from 3 exons. The record is from RefSeq and is a predicted model, not a curated record. Lineage: Eukaryota; Metazoa; Chordata; Lepidosauria; Squamata; Viperidae.
UGGGGGUUUGGGGGUCACCACAACAUGAGGAACUGUAUUAAAAGGUCGCGGCAUUAGGAAGGUUGAGAAUCACUGCUCUAUAGUAAGUCACAGGACCUAUAAUAACUGUGGUCCCAGUUCAGCAUUUUGAAUUUUGCAUGGGAAUGAGAAGUGAAGUUAUAUGAAGGUUUAAAUCUUUAUUCCUGAAAAAAAAUUCUGGCUUGCAAAGUAUCUUAACCAAAGCUUCCAAGCAGCUUUCAAGAGUGAUUUCUGUUAGAUUAUUUAUUUAACACACCUAACCAUGGUUUAUUUUUCUGGGUUCAUGUGAUACACUGACAAACUGACUUAUAUUGGCUGUAUUCUCGUGAUACAUUAAAUACAUAUUUAGGCUAAUGUGUAAUGUGAACCCAAUGGCUGAACUGUAUUCUCAUGAAUGGAUUUGUAUAUAAUGUGCUAGGCUAAAAUGCAGCUGGUUUCACUAUGGAGUAUUUUAUCCUCCUAAGCUAAGAGACAGUAUGAAAAUAAACACUGUGACCAGAUCUUCAGCAACUACAGGGAGAUAUCAAUAUUUUCCCUUAAAUGGAUGGCAGAGGCAAUCCAUGAAAUACUACUGGUUCUUCUACACAUCUUAAAAGCAAGUACUAGCAUUUCAAAUUAAAAAAAUCAUGAAACCAUUUUUUUUAAAAAAAAUAGUUUAAUAAAAACAAAAUAUGAAUAUUGACAAGGGUCACCGAAUCCAUAUUUAGCAUUUUUCCAAGCUGGUGCCCUCUAGCUAUGUUAAAACUACAACUCCUCAACCAGCAAAUUAUAGAAGUGAUUGUUCUGCACAUCUGGAAGGUGGGAUUGGGAGGGGCUGACUUGGAGAUAAGUUCAGAUCCUAAAAGGUCUUGCAUGUGACUUACUUGCAUUACAUUAGUAUUUUUAUAAAAAAAAUUGCACCCAUUUUUUUUCUCAAACUGACAUUGCUCAUUAUUUUAAAAAGCAAACAUAAUAUAAGAGAGUAAAAAGGAAUGCAGACAACAACUAUAUUCGGUUAUAGAAAAAAAUCCAUACUGUAACAAAAGUAUAAUAAUUGGUUGAAAUAAGAUGCUCAUCAAGUUUUCACAACUUUUUCAAAUAUUAAAGAUAGUCUUCACUACCCAAAUCUUUAUCAAAAUAAGCUGUAUUGUAUUGUAUGAUACUGUGUUCAAUUUUUUUCCCAUCACUUAUUUCUCACGAAGCAAUCCGUUCCUAAACUAAAAGAUCAGAAAUUAAUCUUUGCCAAUUUUCAUACAUUAAUCUACUACUUCUAUUUUACAUUUCUUUGAUAAGCCAAAUCCAUUAAUACAUUUUGCCUAAGUUAGAGACUAACAGCCGGUUGCGAAAAGAUAUGUGCAUUAGAACAACAGUCAAGUUGGACAAUUGCAUGCAUACGGGUAAAAACAUGGAACAUCACACGAAGAGAACAUCAUAAAUCAGUCAAAAAGCUUUCUUUUCUGGAUUGUGCGGGUGAUGCAUGCUAUGCUCAACACCUGACUACAAUUUUUACUCCACAUUUUGCCAGCCUUCAUUAUCUCAACCUUAUCUACUUCUGCUACGCAGUGAGAUCAAAAGCUGCCAUCGUCUGAAUGUAAAUAAGAUGAUACAGGCUCAACAGGGCGCUGAGCAGACGUUCUUGCCGAUCUUCGUGUUCCAAUCGGAGAAUCCUUAUUGACGUUUACCCACCUUUUCCCCGAAAGUGUUUCCUAAUGCUACCAACAGUAGUAGCGGCGAGGGCUGCGGUUGCCUCUCUCGCCGACCCUUUCCAGCUGUUCAACCGUAUUAGACCCACCGCGCGUCUGCCAGAAUCCCGACUGGGUUGAAGAAACCGGGAUGAGAAUGAGAAAGAAGGAGGGAGUCGAGGAAAGAUUCAAUUCUCCUCCUAAUUGGCUCACGCUGACGGGACACUCCGGACUGCCGUCAGUUCAUUGGCUCAAGUCUCUGCCGUCCCCUGCAGCUAAUUGGAGGAGCUUGAGCGUGGAGAAGAUGGAAUCCCGGAGGAGGGGUUUCAAAGCAGAAGCAGCCCUGGGGUGGAGAAUUCAUUCCCAGCUUUCCACCUGCAAGCGGGGCGCUCAGCCGCGGUCGCGCGCACGCUCUCUGGCGCUGGCAGGGCAGGGAAGGCCGGGAGGGCAGCGACGGGGUGGUGGUGGGGAAAGUCUUUACUUUUCUUUCUUUCGGCCGCGCUGGGCUGUCCCUAAAGGGGGGGGGGAAAUAGUGCGGCUGAAUCGGAAGGAACCGCAGCUGUCAAGGGAAAGCAAUGGGGGCGGAGUAGGGAGAAGCUGGAGAAACAAAGAACAAGGCAAGACACCGCAAGCAAAGAGAAGAGGUGGAGUCUGAAGGGACGCUCCCCCCACGCCCCCUUGGGGAGCCAGGAAGGAAGGAUACAGGACAGUUGAGGGGCGGGCGGGCGGACAAUGCCAAGCCGGCCGCGCUCCUGAAGGAGGGAAAGCGGCGAGCGGGAGGAUGGCGGACGGAGUUUCCUUGGGCCACUUAGUUGUGCUCUUGGAGCCAAACUCCACGUGACGCAAAGCGCGUCACGUCACCGUGAAGUUGAGCGGCUGCUUCUCCUUGGCCGGAGGAGGGGCGUCAUGGGAUAGCCUCGCUCCUUUUCCCACUUGGCGCUGGGGUCUCCGCUGAGACGGAGCCGAAAGGCGGCGGCGGCAGCGCCACUCUUCUCGGGCGGAGGCUGUGGGUGGAAAUUACGUGCGAGCGGGCGGAGACGGGAGAGAACUUGGCGGACCGCCUGACUAGGUGGGCUCUGGCUGUUGCGCUGCUCAAGUUCGGGGAGGCGCCGGGAGAAGGGCUCCCGCCAAGAACUUCGCCACAGGUGGAAAGCUGUUGCCGCGGCCACCGCCGUCCGCUUUCCACGUUUGCUGCUUCCUCGGCAGUGCUUCAGAGGCAGGAGAGUCGUCGCUCCGGGGACUUGGGCUUUUCUCCUUGCCGUUGCCCUGUAAUCUGCGGGGCAAAAAAAAAAAAAAAAAAAAAAAAAUCGGACGGAAAAAAGGAUCUGCCUCGCUUUGCAGCACACACUUUUGUUAAUCCACGUCCCGCCACCGGAGUAGCAACGUGGUGGAGCCGCUGAAAAUUUUUACAAAGCUCGGGUGGGACGGCGAGGUGUGGCGGGAAUUAGUCCUCGGCUUCCUUCCCCCUAUAAAAGCAUAAUAACAUGGGUUUGGCUUGGAGUAGGCUCCUCUUUCCUUCCUUCCUUCCUUCCUUCCUUCCUUCCUUCCUUCCUUGAAUCGCUUUGCCUUGUGUUAAAAAGAGCUUGUCGAGGGCACGGAAGAGUGGCUGGGUGGGAUAUCUGGAGAGAGAGAGACAGAUAUUGGAAUAACAAUAACAGCAACAACAGUAAUAAUGAAAAGGGACGCCUGGUUCCAGAGUGACGACAAAUCCAAGCGGAAAAAGUCGAGCCGGCUGGUUUGAUUUUGUUUAGUUUUGUUGCAGGGGCAAAUUUACAGCCCUUUACAAGCUCUGGCGUUGGUGACAUAAUGGAGCCAGUUCUGCAGGUGCAGCAACAGGAGGUUGGCUGAUAAGAACAGUGAUCCUAAAAAUGUAUGAAGUGUCUUAGGUGUUCAAAUGAGAAGAUUGGAUUUUUAAUAGCAUUGCGCCUGAGAUCCAGAUGGCCCCAAUCCUACCUGUAAGCCUUUGAAGACCUGGUUUCCACAGACACUGGAUCGGUGGCCUUCUGAAGCCCCCAUAGAUUGUUUACCUUUCGUUGCUGAAUUGCUUAAUGGCAUAAUUUGCUGUUUGCCUCACUAUAUUUUGAUAGUUUUUUAAAUAGUCUUAAAAGUUGUUUUAAUAGUGUGCUGCCUUAUGUACUAGCAGAUGGCUUGUUGCAGAUCUGGGACUGGAGAGUUCAGCCCUGCUGGACAUCUCUGCAGUGAUGACAGUGCAAGAUGAUGCUUUGCAGUGGUUCUUCUUCUAUGUGGGAAUUACUCUAGUAGAUGAAAAUUUGGUAAUUCAGAUUAAGGAACAGAAACAUGCCCAUAUUAAAAGAAUUUAUAAUGAGUUAAUAAAAUUGGAUUCGGAAACAGAGUUAGUAAAAGAUUGUAUGAUUAAA